This 700-nucleotide long non-coding RNA is filed under the name Homo sapiens (human). RNAcentral describes it as "long non-coding RNA NONHSAT175995". The record is from RNAcentral. Lineage: Eukaryota; Metazoa; Chordata; Mammalia; Primates; Hominidae.
CAUCCCAGAUGGACAUAAUAAUAGUACCUACUCCAAAAGGUUGUUGUGAGGAUUAAAUUAAAUACACUAGAGCCUGGUAAUAAAAGGCAUGUGACCAUGGGGGAGGUUCACUAAUCCUGGGGCUGCUGCAAGCUUCCCUCGAGUCCUGUGAGCGUCAACACAAAGCAUUUGGCAUGGAGCCUGGUUGUGGCACACUCUCAGUAGCUGUGCUGCUGCUCCGGUAAUGCAGACGCCUCUGGUGGAGGGCUGUGCUGUGGUGCUGUCUGCUAUGUGUCAGAUGUGGUGUCCUCAGGAAAGCAGGGCUUUUGCCUGAGCCCCGCAGGCAGUGACAGGGUGGUUUUUGCCUUUGAUUCAGACCACAUUGUGCAACACAUCAUUGGACAACCCAACCCAGAGAAACAAGGAUCAGCUGAUCCGGGCAGCCGUGAAGUUUCUGGACACCGACACCAUCUGGUAAUGGACAUUUAGAUGGGCAUUCCCCUUGGAUUGAGGCUAUUUUUCCUGAUUUGCCCAGAUGGUUAUCAGUGGAAGAAGAAACCCUCUCCAUUUAUUGCAAGGACAAGGAAGGUGGCCCACUUGACUUUGGCACUUGGCUGCUCUGUAGCCCCUUAGGAGGAGGACUCCUCGGGCUACAAUGGUGUCAGAACAUGGCCACCCCUCUUCUCUAGCCCAGAAGCUGCUCCUUAGGCUGGGAGGGUGG